AAAACCAUACUUUCAAGGAUCAUUUCUAUAGUUCAUUACUAGAGAAGUUUCUCUGAAUGUGUAGAGCGCCUGAAAUCACGAGGAGGAGGUGUGCAGUGUUUUCUCCUGAGGGUGAAGCCAGCUUCUGGUAUUGCUUAUGCAACUGCCUUUGGCCAUUGAUGAUGAUUCUUCUCUCUCACUGGGGGAGUCAGAGGGAGAAAAUGAAGUCUGAGUGGU
Small nucleolar RNA from Molossus molossus (Pallas's mastiff bat), 216 nucleotides. RefSeq annotates it as small nucleolar RNA U3. The transcript has a single exon. NCBI's taxonomy places the organism in Eukaryota, Metazoa, Chordata, Mammalia, Chiroptera, Molossidae. The record is from RefSeq and is a predicted model, not a curated record.